CCAGACUCCUACGGGAGGCAGCAGUGAGGAAUAUUGGUCAAUGGGCGAGAGCCUGAACCAGCCAAGUCGCGUGAGGGAGGACGGCCCUACGGGUUGUAAACCUCUUUUGCCGGGGGACAAACGGCGGCACGCGUGCCGUCCUGAGGGUACCCGGAGAAAAAGCAUCGGCUAACUCCGUGCCAGCAGCCGCGGUAAUACGGAGGAUGCGAGCGUUAUCCGGAUUUAUUGGGUUUAAAGGGUGCGUAGGCGGGAUGCCAAGUCAGGGGUAAAAUACGGGGGCUAAACCUGCGCCCGCCGUUGAAACUGGCGUUCUUGAGUGGGCGAGAAGUACGCGGAAUGCGUGGUGUAGCGGUGAAAUGCAUAGAUAUCACGCAGAACCCCGAUUGCGAAGGCAGCCUACUAAACUGCCACUGACAUUGAUGCUCGAAAGUGUGGGUAUCAAACAGGAUUAGAUACCCCAGUAU
This 464-nucleotide ribosomal RNA is filed under the name uncultured bacterium. Its description in RNAcentral is "partial 16S ribosomal RNA". It matches the Rfam family "Bacterial small subunit ribosomal RNA", at positions 331 to 793 of the family's 1533-position model. The record is from RNAcentral.